Molecule: unclassified non-coding RNA, 519 nt
Filed under: uncultured Glomeromycotina
Lineage: Eukaryota; Fungi; Glomeromycota
Description: SSU rRNA
Rfam family: Eukaryotic small subunit ribosomal RNA
Source: RNAcentral
CCAAUAGCGUAUAUUAAAGUUGUUGCAGUUAAAAAGCUCGUAGUUGAACUUCGGGAUCAAUUAGUUGGUCAUGCCUUGGUAUGUACUGAUUUUAUUGGUUCUCACCUUCUAAAGAACUAUAAUGUCAUUUAUUUGAUGUUAUAGGGAAUUAGGACUGUUACCUUGAAAAAAUUAGAGUGUUUAAAGCAGGCUCACGCUUGAAUACAUUAGCAUGGAAUAAUGAAAUAGGACAUCGCAUUCUAUUUUGUUGGUUUCUAGGAUCGAUGUAAUGAUUAAUAGGGAUAGUUGGGGGCAUUAGUAUUCAAUUGUCAGAGGUGAAAUUCUUGGAUUUAUUGAAGACUAACUACUGCGAAAGCAUUUGCCAAGGAUGUUUUCAUUAAUCAAGAACGAAAGUUAGGGGAUCGAAGACGAUCAGAUACCGUCGUAGUCUUAACCAUAAACUAUGCCGACUAGGGAUCGGAUGAUGUUGAUUUUUUAAUGACUCAUUCGGCACCUUACGGGAAACCAAAUGUUUGGGUC